UUGCAGUCUCUGGCUCUCACCACAAGACUACACUGCCUCUUUUCCUCUCCAGUGACUCUUGCAUUUUCCUUUCUUCUUGUGCUUUCUCCUCACCCCAAUGAGCUCUAAGAGGAGGGAGCUAAUAAUACAGUUUAAGAAGGAGAGAUGGGACAGGCUUCUCUGUGCAGAUAAAGUGAGCGCUGUCUGGACAUCGGUGGGAAGAUUAGCUGUCUGGACUUCAGAAUCUGCCAUGGACCCCAGGCAGGUAGGCACUCUACAAACACUGAGGAACAGCCCAUCACCAACUCUCUCAGGACAGCUUAUUUCGUUCAGAGGCUGGUUUGAAUUCUAUCAAUAAAAGUGCUCCAUUGCUAAUGUAAGCUAUAUCUACAUUAGGAGGGUGUGUUGGCAUAGUUAUAGCAAUAAACCCUUUCUGCGUAGACA
Molecule: long non-coding RNA, 423 nt
Filed under: Crocodylus porosus (Australian saltwater crocodile)
Lineage: Eukaryota; Metazoa; Chordata; Crocodylia; Crocodylidae
Description: lncRNA (ENSCPRG00005005228.1)
Source: RNAcentral